This 253-nucleotide ribosomal RNA is filed under the name uncultured bacterium. RNAcentral's name for it is "partial 16S ribosomal RNA". It matches the Rfam family "Bacterial small subunit ribosomal RNA", at positions 524 to 776 of the family's 1533-position model. The record is from RNAcentral.
UACAGAGGGUGCUAGCGUUGUUCGGAAUUACUGGGCGUAAAGAGCGCGCAGGCGGUCGAUUUAGUCGUGUGUGAAAGCCCCCGGCUCAACUGGGGAGGGUCACGCGAUACUGAUCGACUCGAAGGCAGGAGAGGGUAGUGGAAUUCCCGGUGUAGUGGUGAAAUGCGUAGAUAUCGGGAGGAACACCGGUGGCGAAGGCGGGUCUCUGGGCCGAUACUGACGCUGAGGAGCGAAAGCGUGGGGAGCGAACAGG